This 245-nucleotide ribosomal RNA is filed under the name uncultured Erysipelotrichaceae bacterium. RNAcentral's name for it is "partial 16S ribosomal RNA". It matches the Rfam family "Bacterial small subunit ribosomal RNA", at positions 524 to 769 of the family's 1533-position model. Lineage: Bacteria; Bacillati; Bacillota; Erysipelotrichia; Erysipelotrichales; Erysipelotrichaceae. The record is from RNAcentral.
UACGUAGGUGGCAAGCGUUAUCCGGAUUUAUUGGGCGUAAAGGGUGCGCAGGCGGCAUGUUUAGUCUGAGGUGAAAGCGUUGAGCUCAACUCAAUCAAGCCUCAGAUACUGGCAAGCUAGAGUGCAGAAGAGGGUUAUGGAAUUCCAUGUGUAGCGGUAAAAUGCGUAGAUAUAUGGAGGAACACCGGAGGCGAAGGCGGUAACCUGGUCUGCAACUGACGCUCAGGCACGAAAGCGUGGGGAGC